Molecule: ribosomal RNA, 492 nt
Filed under: uncultured bacterium
Lineage: Bacteria
Description: partial 16S ribosomal RNA
Rfam family: Bacterial small subunit ribosomal RNA
Source: RNAcentral
AGUGAACGCUGGCGGUAGGCCUAACACAUGCAAGUCGAACGGCAGCACAGUAAGAGCUUGCUCUUACGGGUGGCGAGUGGCGGACGGGUGAGGAAUACAUCGGACUCUACUUUUUCGUGGGGGAUAACGAAGGGAAACUUACGCCAAUACCGCAUACGACCUACGGGUGAAAGCAGGGGAUCUUCGGACCUUGCGCGAUUGAAUGAGCCGAUGACGGAUUAGCUAGUUGGCGGGGUUAAAGCCCACCAAGGCGACGAUCGGUAGCUGGUGUGAGUGGAUGAUCGGCCACACUGGAACUGGGCCACGGUCCUGGCUCCUGCGGUACGCCGCAGUGGGGAAUGUUGGGCAGUGGUCGCAAGCCUGAUCCAACCGUCCCGCGUGGGUGAAGAAGGCCUUCGGGUUGUAAAGCCCUUUUGUUGGGAAAGAAAAGCAGCAGGUUAAUACCCCGCUGUUCUGACGGUACCCGAUAAAUAAGCACCGGCUAACUUCGUG